AUCCAGCUGACGAGUCCCAAAUAAGACGAAACGCACAUUCAACUGGAU
Molecule: non-coding RNA, 48 nt
Filed under: Schistosoma mansoni
Lineage: Eukaryota; Metazoa; Platyhelminthes; Trematoda; Strigeidida; Schistosomatidae
Source: RNAcentral